This 705-nucleotide long non-coding RNA is filed under the name Rosa chinensis. RNAcentral's name for it is "sRNA RchiOBHm_Chr2g0150251". The record is from RNAcentral. Lineage: Eukaryota; Viridiplantae; Streptophyta; Magnoliopsida; Rosales; Rosaceae.
UCAGUCAUUACUCUCUCCUCUCUCUCUGUUAUUUUGUUCUUGUCCUAAAACAAGAACUAUAUUGAAACAGAAUAAGUGGUUAUGUGGGGAUUGAUGUGUUUUUUUCUUUUUCUUUUUCUUACCUAAUUUUAUCAAGCGUAUGUGAUUAGUGGGAAACUACCACACUUUCUAACUUAUGAAAUUGUGAUGUUUUUCCGUAAAAUUAAAAAGUCAUGUGUGUCUCUUUCAUUACAGAAAGUUGACAAAUAGAAGAAAUUAAAGAGGGAGAAUUUGUAUUUUCGAAUUCACACACAUACGAAAGCAACUGGUUGGAAUCUAUAAGCAAACCAUGCCAUGUAAAGCAAAGCUUUCCCGCCUGAUCAACUACUCUGAUUUUGGUACAGAGCAAUACGCAAGGAUGAAGAUUGCUUAAAUGUAUCGACUAUCGAGAAGGUAGACAUGCCAUGUUGACGGUGCGGGGGCCGAAUGAAAAUAUGCCACGUGAAAUUUACUAUCCCAAAAUACCCUUAAGGUAUCGCGAUUAUUAGAAGCUCAUUAGCUGUGACGCUACCAUACGGCUGAGUGGAUGAUGAGACAUUCAAACCAAAAACAAGCUUCUAAACGGGAAGAAUAUUUAUAAUUUUUGAAACGUGCUAAUAAAAGUUAAAUGUGAGAAUAUCAUAUUAAGAUUAGUUUGCCCUCAUAUCUACUCAAUAUCUAGAUGGG